RNAcentral lists this ribosomal RNA (301 nucleotides) under uncultured bacterium. Its description in RNAcentral is "partial 16S ribosomal RNA". It matches the Rfam family "Bacterial small subunit ribosomal RNA", at positions 509 to 807 of the family's 1533-position model. The record is from RNAcentral.
CAGUCGCCACGGUAAUACAGAGGAUGCAAGCGUUAUCCGGAAUGAUUGGGCGUAAAGCGUCUGUAGGUGGCUUUUCAAGUCCGCCGUCAAAUCCCAGGGCUCAACCCUGGACAGGCGGUGGAAACUACCAAGCUAGAGUACGGUAGGGGCAGAGGGAAUUUCCGGUGGAGCGGUGAAAUGCGUUGAGAUCGAAAAGAACACCAACGACGAAAGCACUCUGCUGGGUCGACACUGACACUGAGAGACGAAAGCUAGGGGAGCAAAUGGGAUUAGAUACCCGCGUAGUCCCUGUCUCUUAUAC